Molecule: ribosomal RNA, 446 nt
Filed under: uncultured bacterium
Lineage: Bacteria
Description: bacterial SSU rRNA
Rfam family: Bacterial small subunit ribosomal RNA
Source: RNAcentral
UCCAGACUCCUACGGGAGGCAGCAGUGGGGAAUAUUGCACAAUGGGGGGAACCCUGAUGCAGCGACGCCGCGUGAGUGAAGAAGUAUUUCGGUAUGUAAAGCUCUGUCAGCAGGGAAGAAGAAAGACGGUACCUGACCAAGAAGCCCCGGCUAACUACGUGCCAGCAGCCGCGGUAAUACGUAGGGGGCAAGCGUUAUCCGGAUUUACUGGGUGUAAAGGGAGCGUAGACGGCAGGGCAAGUCUGGAGUGAAAGGCAGGGGCCCAACCCCUGGACUGCUCUGGAAACUGUCCGGCUGGAGUGCAGGAGAGGUAAGUGGAAUUCCUAGUGUAGCGGUGAAAUGCGUAGAUAUUAGGAGGAACACCAGUGGCGAAGGCGGCCUACUGGACUGUAACUGACGUUGAGGCUCGAAAGCGUGGGGAGCAAACAGGAUUAGAUACCCUGGUA